UCUCGGCUUAUCACCGGCAGUCCCCCUAGAGUGCCCAACUUAAUGGUGGCAACUAAGGACAGGGGUUGCGCUCGUUGCGGCACUUAAGCCAACACCUCACGGCACGAGCUGACGACAGCCAUGCAGCACCUGUGCUAGCCCCCGAAGGACACGGGCUUUCACCCGCUUUAACUAGCAUGUCAAGCCCAGGUAAGGUUCUUCGCGUUGCAUCGAAUUAAGCCACAUGCUCCGCCGCUUGUGCAGGCCCCCGUCAAUUCCUUUGAGUUUUAAUCUUGCGACCGUACUCCCCAGGCGGGAAGCUUAAUGCGUUAGCUGCGCCACCGACAAGUAAACUUGCCAACGGCUAGCUUCCAUCGUUUACGGCGUGGACUAC
RNAcentral lists this unclassified non-coding RNA (373 nucleotides) under uncultured bacterium. RNAcentral describes it as "contains 16S-23S intergenic spacer region". The record is from RNAcentral.